GAUGAACGCUGGCGGCGUGCCUAAUACAUGCAAGUCGAGCGAACAGACGAGGAGCUUGCUCCUCUGACGUUAGCGGCGGACGGGUGAGUAACACGUGGAUAACCUACCUAUAAGACUGGGAUAACUUCGGGAAACCGGAGCUAAUACCGGAUAAUAUAUUGAACCGCAUGGUUCAAUAGUGAAAGACGGUUUUGCUGUCACUUAUAGAUGGAUCCGCGCCGCAUUAGCUAGUUGGUAAGGUAACGGCUUACCAAGGCAACGAUGCGUAGACGACCUGAGAGGGUGAUAGGCGACACGGGAGCUGAGACAGGGUCCAGAGUCCUACGGGAGGCAGCAGUAGGGAAUCUUCCGCAAUGGGCGAAAGCUUGACGGAGCAACGCCGCGUGAGUGAUGAAGGUGUUCGGAUCGUAAAACUCUGUUAUUAGGGAAGAACAAAUGUGUAAGUAACUAUGCACGUAUUGACGGUACCUAAUCAGAAAGCCACGGCUAACUACGUG
This 497-nucleotide ribosomal RNA is filed under the name uncultured bacterium. RNAcentral's name for it is "partial 16S ribosomal RNA". It matches the Rfam family "Bacterial small subunit ribosomal RNA", at positions 28 to 507 of the family's 1533-position model. The record is from RNAcentral.